CGCCUCUUGACAUAAUAUAAGAGGUCCAGCCUGCCCAGUGACUUUGUUCAACGGCCGCGGUAUCCUAACCGUGCGAAGGUAGCGUAAUCACUUGUUCUUUAAAUGAGGACUAGUAUGAAUGGCAUCACGAAGGUUAUACUGUCUCCUUUUUCUAAUCAGUGAAACUAAUCCCCCCGUGAAGAAACGGGGAUAAACCUAUAAGACGAGAAGACCCUAUGGAGCUUCAAACUAAAUAACACUUGCUACAGCCAUAACCUCACUUCAGAGUAAUUACAUACAUUUUAGCUUCUUGAUUAUUAGUUUUAGGUUGGGGUGACCGCGGAGUAAAAAAUAACCUCCACAUUGAAUGGGAAAAACUCCCUGAGCUGUGAACUACACCUCUAAGCACCAAUAAAUUGACAUCAAUUGACCCAAUAUAUUGAUCAACGAACCAAGUUACCCUAGGGAUAACAGCGCAAUCCGCUUUAAGAGCCCAUAUCGACAAGCGGGUUUACGACCUCGAUGUUGGAUCAGGGUAUCCCAGUGGUGCAGCCGCUACUAAAGGUUCGUUUGUUCAACGAUUAAAACCCU
This 570-nucleotide ribosomal RNA is filed under the name Dryophytes squirellus (squirrel treefrog). RNAcentral describes it as "partial 16S ribosomal RNA". It matches the Rfam family "Bacterial large subunit ribosomal RNA", at positions 1829 to 2597 of the family's 2925-position model. Lineage: Eukaryota; Metazoa; Chordata; Amphibia; Anura; Hylidae. The record is from RNAcentral.